Non-coding RNA from Acanthosepion pharaonis, 110 nucleotides. NCBI's taxonomy places the organism in Eukaryota, Metazoa, Mollusca, Cephalopoda, Sepiida, Sepiidae. The record is from the annotation of a GenBank genome assembly.
CCGGACAUAUCACGUUGAUACACCAGUUCUCGUAUAUUCACCGAAGUUAAGCAAUGUUGAGCCUGGCUUGUACUUAGAUGUGUGACUCUUUGUGAAUAGCAGGUAUUGUA